CGUUCCCGGGUCUUGUACACACCGCCCGUCACACCAUGGGAGCGGGUUUUACCAGAAGUAGUUAGCCUAACCGCAAGGAGGGCGAUUACCACGGUAGGAUUCGUGACUGGGGUG
Molecule: ribosomal RNA, 114 nt
Filed under: uncultured bacterium
Lineage: Bacteria
Description: partial 16S ribosomal RNA
Rfam family: Bacterial small subunit ribosomal RNA
Source: RNAcentral